This 366-nucleotide ribosomal RNA is filed under the name Triticum aestivum (bread wheat). RNAcentral describes it as "partial small subunit ribosomal RNA". The record is from RNAcentral. Lineage: Eukaryota; Viridiplantae; Streptophyta; Magnoliopsida; Poales; Poaceae.
AUGGGCGUGGACGGCGUGGAGCUGCAGGUGUUCUGGUCCGUGGUGCAGCCGGAGUCGCCGGACAAGUUCUCGUGGGCCGGGUACCGCGCCGUGGCCGAUAUUGCCCGCGACGAGGGCCUCAGCCUCCGCGUCUCCUCCGCGUCUCCCUCCGCAUCCACGGUUCGCCGGGCGGCAGCGCCCCCAAGCUCCCGUCCUGGGUCGGCGCCGCCGCCGCCAAGGACCGCGACAUCCUCUUCACCGACGGCGCCGGCGGGCGCCACGAGGACUGCCUCUCCUUCGCCGUCGACGAGCUCCCCGUGCUCGCCGGAAUGCCCACCUCCAGCGCUACGAGGCCUUCUUCCGCAGCUUCGUCGACGCCUUCGAUAA